Manis pentadactyla (Chinese pangolin) is the source of this 1396-nucleotide long non-coding RNA. RefSeq lists it as uncharacterized. NCBI's taxonomy places the organism in Eukaryota, Metazoa, Chordata, Mammalia, Pholidota, Manidae. The record is from RefSeq and is a predicted model, not a curated record. The transcript is spliced from 4 exons.
UUCUACUCACUUUGAGACCUCCUCUCGGCUUCCUUCCUGGCAAAGGCCUUCAGAGGGAACCAAGAGCCUACUUUGCCUUUUCCCACAGGCCAGUUAAACACCAUUAUGGCUGCUUGUGUUUAACCGCCAUCGCACAAACAGCCUUGAGGAGAAUUCAACAGCCUACUCAGAGGACCAUCACCUGAAGUUCCAACUGUGGGGGGGAGGUUACCUUCGACGUGUUGACUGGUCCGAAGCCUAGACGGCUUCCAGUGAAAUGGGGAGUGACCACUUGGGGACGAUGGUGACCUUCUCUCCGUGUGGCAGACGUCUAUGGGACAAUGAGAUUCUACUAAACUACAGUGUUUUCCACAGAGGAAUCGUGAUUCAGAAGGAAGAAAGAACCGUAAGUGACCUUGUUUUACAUUUCUACUCACUUUGAGACCUCCUCUCGGCUUCCUUCCUGGCAAAGGCCUUCAGAGGGAACCAAGAGCCUACUUUGCCUUUUCCCACAGGCCAGUUAAACACCAUUAUGGCUGCUUGUGUUUAACCGCCAUCGCACAAACAGCCUUGAGGAGAAUUCAACAGCCUACUCAGAGGACGAGAAAUUGCUGCUGAGGAAGAGGCUCCCCAACCGCACUAUUUCUACGCGGCUUUGGUGUGUCCCGCGGCAAGUGGCCUCUUGAAUCCGGAUCACUUGACCAGAGACGACCACCCAACACUCUCCCCGCCAGGGAAAUUACAUUCCCACUCAUUCACAAUUACAGUCUGUAGAGUCGCACAAAACAUCCCCAAGCCUUGUGCAGACAACCCCACAUCACAUAAAAGGAACAUGAUCCCGGAGCACGUGCAGGGGCUGAGAGGAAAUGUCUCUGCCACCAGCCUUGGAGCACCCUUUUGAUCAGGAACAUGAGGACGGGAAAGGAAGCUCCCCACCCUCCUGGCACCCAUGGCAGAACUUGUCUGCGUGGUCAAGUGUAGGUGACAGAGCUGUGUCCUGCCAGAUAGCCCCCAUCACGGAGGAACACCCAAGGCAGCAGCCUCGUGCUCUGUUCCCACCACAUGCUACCCCAGGACCAAAGGCUUUGGUGCUCUGCAGAGGCAAAGCCAGCAAGCCCUGGCCUAGGAAAGAUCAUCUUUAAGUAAGAAAGCGAGAAGAGCUGAUUAUCCGCACAGCACUCUCAAAACCCAAAGGCAUAGUACGUCUGCUACUGGGAAUUUAAAAUACGAGAACAAAAUGCUCCUCCGCACGUGUUUCCUUUGCCUUUCUGAUACCACGCUUCCCAUCCCCAGUCUCCAGAGCUGCAGGGGGAACCCCGCUCCCGUUGGAUGUGGCCCGAGGUAGCUGCCUACCUGGACAGUCCUCCUCGUCACUGCUGCCGCUGAGAAAGAUCUCCACAACGCAGUCUUUAAAGAC